Molecule: ribosomal RNA, 255 nt
Filed under: uncultured bacterium
Lineage: Bacteria
Description: partial 16S ribosomal RNA
Rfam family: Bacterial small subunit ribosomal RNA
Source: RNAcentral
UACGGAGGGGGCUAGCGUUGUCCGAAGUUACUGGGCGUAAAGCGUGCGCAGGCGGCUUUGCAAGACAGAUGUGAAAUCCCCGGGCUUAACCUGGGAACUGCAUUUGUGACUGCAUGGCUGGAGUGCGGCAGAGGGGGAUGGAAUUCCGGCGUGUAGCAGUGAAAUGCGUAGAUAUGACGGAGGAACACCGAUGGCGAAGGCAAUCCCCUGGGCCUGCACUGACGCUCAUGCACGAAAGCGUGGGGAGCAAACAGG